Molecule: ribosomal RNA, 519 nt
Filed under: uncultured bacterium
Lineage: Bacteria
Description: partial 16S ribosomal RNA
Rfam family: Bacterial small subunit ribosomal RNA
Source: RNAcentral
GACGAACGCUGGCGGCGUGCCUAAUACAUGCAAGUCGAGCGAGUCUGCCUUGAAGAUCGGAGUGCUUGCACUCUGUGAAACAAGAUACAGGCUAGCGGCGGACGGGUGAGUAACACGUGGGUAACCUGCCCAAGAGAUCGGGAUAACACCUGGGAACAGAUGCUAAUAUCGGAUAACAACAGAUGAUGCCUCUCAUCUGUUUAAAAGAUGGUUCUGCUAUCACUCUUGGAUGGACCUGCGGUGCAUUAGCUAGUUGGUAGGGUAACGGCCUACCAAGGCGAUGAUGGAUAGCCGAGUUGAGAGAGUGAUCGGCCACAUUGGGACUGAGACACGGCCCAAACUCCUACGGGAGGCAGCAGUAGGGAAUCUUCCACAAUGGACGCAAGUCUGAUGGAGCAACGCCGCGUGAGUGAAGAAGGGUUUCGGCUCGUAAAGCUCUGUUGUUGGUGAAGAAGGACAGGGGUAGUAACUGACCUUUGUUUGGCGGUAAUCAAUGAGAAAGUCACGGCUAACUACGUG